Molecule: ribosomal RNA, 470 nt
Filed under: Pseudomonas sp. oral taxon 032
Lineage: Bacteria; Pseudomonadati; Pseudomonadota; Gammaproteobacteria; Pseudomonadales; Pseudomonadaceae
Description: bacterial SSU rRNA
Rfam family: Bacterial small subunit ribosomal RNA
Source: RNAcentral
AUUGAACGCUGGCGGCAGGCCUAACACAUGCAAGUCGAGCGGAUGAAGAGAGCUUGCUCUCUGAUUUAGCGGCGGACGGGUGAGUAAUGCCUAGGAAUCUGCCUGGUAGUGGGGGAUAACGUUCCGAAAGGAACGCUAAUACCGCAUACGUCCUACGGGAGAAAGCAGGGGACCUUCGGGCCUUGCGCUAUCAGAUGAGCCUAGGUCGGAUUAGCUAGUUGGUGGGGUAAAGGCUCACCAAGGCGACGAUCCGUAACUGGUCUGAGAGGAUGAUCAGUCACACUGGAACUGAGACACGGUCCAGACUCCUACGGGAGGCAGCAGUGGGGAAUAUUGGACAAUGGGCGAAAGCCUGAUCCAGCCAUGCCGCGUGUGUGAAGAAGGUCUUCGGAUUGUAAAGCACUUUAAGUUGGGAGGAAGGGUUGUAACCUAAUACGUUGCAAUUUUGACGUUACCGACAGAAUAAGCAC